AGCUCACUGAACCUCUCUGAUGGCUGCCCGAUCGUUCUGAUGCUAGGCUGAAGCUCCUGACAGACUCACACCAGUAUCUUGCUGCUCCAGAAAGGUCGAAGAUGGCAGUUUUCCCAAACUCCGGCUUGCCCAGAUGUCUGCUCACCCUCAUUCUUCUCCAGCUGCCCAAGCUGGUUUCAGAUAGGUCUCUCUCUCUGGCCUGCAGAGUUAAAACAUCUCAAUAAAUAUAAAGUAUAAAAAGAAGCUGGAGCCCAACCACUUCGGCACAUGUUCACAGGAUCUCGGGGCUGUGUCACAAGCCACUGGGCACUCAUAUCUGGCUGAGAAUAAAUCUCUUGCAAUAUUUUACAGAGUUUGACUCUUUUUGUUUGACAAAAUAAAUUCAACUCAUAACUGCUGAGUUUGGGCUCUGGGCUGUGGAGUUGUCUGGAAAUGGGUGCUGGGCUCCCACUGCUGCCUUUCACUCAAGGCCCCCAGAUAUAGCAACCAUCUCUUAGUAUGUAAAGAUCUGAUCUCAAAUCAUCAGGAGCUUCCAGGUUAUUUCAUUUUCCUUUUUUUCUCUUCUUUUCACCGAUGUUUGACGUCCAGGUUAUUUCUAAGGUGACAGAAAGAAGCAGAACACUUUCUUGUGCCUGAUUGAUCAGUUGAUGUUUUGUAGGCGAUAGGAUUCAGAUAGUAACAGUCCUCCAGUGCGUCCUUCCCACUCUCAUUUUCUUCCUCCUCCUCCUCACAUCUCAGCCCCAGAGGCCUAUUGAAGAAUUUCUAUUCAUUUUACAAAGAAGCUCCUGAAAUUUUUAUGUUAGUUUUGUCUUUUUAUUUUCCUCCUUCUUCUUCUUCCUCUUUUUCUUCUUCCUCUUCUUCUUCUUCACACCACUAUACAAAGGAGGAAGUUUAGUUUUGUCUUUUACUUUAAAUUACACAAGAUUUUUUUUUCUUUCUCUCUCUGUCUCUUUAUUAUUUUAA
Molecule: long non-coding RNA, 963 nt
Filed under: Homo sapiens (human)
Lineage: Eukaryota; Metazoa; Chordata; Mammalia; Primates; Hominidae
Description: non-protein coding lnc-BTN2A1-1:2
Source: RNAcentral